UAAAGGUUUGGUCCUGGCCUUAUAGUUAAUUAAAGGUGAGAUUACACAUGCAAAUUUCCAUGUACCUGUGAGAAUCCCCUUAAAGUUCACCUAAAGUUUAAGGAGAUGGUAUCAAGCACAUUCUAUAGCUUUAAACACCUAGCUCAGCCACUCCCCCACGGGAUACAGCAGUGAUAAAAAUUUAGCAAUAAACGAAAGUUGACUAAGCUACACCUUAUAGGGUUGGUAAAUUUCGUGCCAGCCACCGCGGUCAUACGAUUAACUCAAACUAACUAAUUUUCGGCGUAAAACGUGUUAUAACAUAAUAAAAAUAGAAUUAAAACCCAGCCAAUACGUUUAAGUUCAUCGUUAGGGCCUAAACUCGCAAACGAAAGUAAUUCUAAUUUAUCUAUACACGAUAGCUAAGAUCCAAACUGGGAUUAGAUACCCCACUAUGCUUAGCCCUAAACCUAAAUAAUUAUAAUAACAAAAUUAUUUGCCAGAGAACUACGAGCUACUGCUUAAAACUCAAAGGACUUGGCGGCGCUUUAUAUCCGUCUAGAGGAGCCUGUUCUAUAAUCGAUAAACCCCGUUCCACCUUACCAACUCUUGCUUUUCAGCUUAUAUACCGCCAUCUUAAGUUAACCCUAAAAGGAAGAAAAGUAAACGAAAGAACAAACAUAAAGACGUUAGGUCAAGGUGUAGCCUAUGAGUUGGAAAGCAAUGGGCUACAUUUUCUUUUAAAGAAUAUUACGAUACCUCUUAUGAAAUUUAAGAGGUCAAGGAGGAUUUAGUAGUAAAUUAAGAAUAGAGUGCUUAAUUGAAUGGAAAGCUCUGAAGCGGCCGGUACACACCGCCCGUCACCCUCCUCAAAUUUUAAAAAUAACUCCUACAUAAAUAAAAAAAAAUAAACUAUACGAGAGGAGGAAAGUCGUAACAUGGUAAGCAUACUGGAAAGUGUGCUUGGACUACU
This 952-nucleotide non-coding RNA is filed under the name Gerbillurus tytonis. The record is from RNAcentral. Lineage: Eukaryota; Metazoa; Chordata; Mammalia; Rodentia; Muridae.